Anguilla rostrata (American eel) is the source of this 4560-nucleotide long non-coding RNA. RefSeq lists it as uncharacterized. The transcript is spliced from 4 exons. The record is from RefSeq and is a predicted model, not a curated record. Lineage: Eukaryota; Metazoa; Chordata; Actinopteri; Anguilliformes; Anguillidae.
UAUUGAUUUUAGCUUUUAGUCUAUAUUUGGCAUAUUUAAUUAUGAUAUUUCGACGAUGUGAAUGAAAAUUCCCUAAGAUGUGUCAGAUUUGGUAUUGGACAUAAACAGCAGCACUUGCUCAUUCUGUACACUUUAUCGCUUGCCUCCAGUGGUGAAAAUAUAUAUAAAACAUUGCAGCGCUGGUUCCCCUUAAUAAAGGUUGUUUGGUUUAUCUACAACAAACUUAAAGUAAUAAUGUCUAAUAUUUCCAUUUAAAUAAAUGUCUGUUAAGUCACUAUCUAUCGCUGAAUGAGGUAACACAAUGGUGAUUGAGCCUAUGGCCCACUGAUGAAAGCCCUUGCAUUUGCAGUAUUACUAAGUAUUAUGAACUGGGUGUUUGUGGCGACAUUCCCGUGAAAAAUCACAAGCAGCGCACAGUUAGUGACGCGUUUUCCAUCUCCCAGCAGUGGUUGGUCCGCCAGAGAGGGUAGGCGGAGAUAUCGCAACAGGCUCCCUCUUCAACUCACUUGUGUGUGAUCGGAAUACUGUUUAUUUCCGGUCUCUGCUAGCGUUGUGACUGCGAGUAGACGGUUACUAUGGCCGAACAAACAAAGAAAAGAUCGAUGCCUACAGACGAUGAAACUUCAAAAACAAGUGCAAAUCCAAAGAAAAAGAAACAAAUUCGACGUUCAGAUGAAGGCAAACGGUCAAAAAAGCUAAGCGACCGUCAGCGAGGAAAAACCAGAGUUACCAUCGGCGUUGCCUUGCCAAGGUGGAGGGCAUUGAAAGAAGAAAAGGGACUGAGGGGCGAUACAGAUAUGGCUCUCUUACUCUUGGACUGUUAUGAACGUUAUGCUCGGGGUCCAUCUGUGUCGACCCCAGGCAAGCGUGGUGAUCAGCGUGCCCCUGCCCCAUCAAUGUCCAGCACUGGAGCUGAAUCUGAGCGGGAUGAUGCCUUGUCAGACAUUGGUUGUGUUGAGGAUAGCGAAGAGGUGGAUGUCUUGCAAGAAAGGUACACAAAAGAUGAGCUGCACGUCUCCUGUACUUUUGAGCCGCAGUAUGAUGCAGGAAGAAGUCUGUCUGAGACAGGACACUGAGACAACACUACCAGAGCUCACUGAGCAGCACAGGAUCAGACCGGAAGAAGAGGAACUCAGUGGACUGGAGUCUGUCCACAUGGCAGAGUCAGAGACAGUGUGUGCUGCACCAGGACUCAACACACCAGAGCCAGAAUGUGUUACAGCACACUGUGGGGUCAGUGAUGUACACCAUACACACACAUCACUGAUUAAAACAGAAACUGAUCUGGGCUCCACCCACACUGGGAAUUUUAUCAAGACUGAGAUCCUUGAAAAUACAGAGCUGGGAUCUGUAACCCAUAUGCAUCCUGACCAAAUCAAAACGGAGACUAAUGAUGGAGGUUACCUGAAGGCAGAACAUAUCAGCGACUUGAAGGAUUUUAAAUGUGUUCAUAUUAAAUUUGAAAAGAUUGAAUCCAGUGAAAUUUUAGUGAGUGAUCUCGUGAAUACUGUGAUGAAUGGAGUAGGCCACAAAGACUGAAUCAGGGCAAUGUGCAGGACAGCCAAGCCCAAACUGUAAAAAAGAGGAACCUUAUGGUCUACUGUGACAUGAACAGUGAAAAUAAUCUGACCAGAAUUGUCCAGAAAAGUGUAAACAGUAGCAACAAACAUAUGAACUGUGAUAAUUGAACCCAUGGUAAUUCAAUCAAAUAAAAAAACCAAGCCAUUUGAAAAUCUUUCAUACAAAUGAAAAACUACCAAAUCUAAUUUGAAUCACCAUCUGAGAAUUCAUACAGGUGAAAUGCCUUACAAAUGUAUUCACUGUGCAACAUGCUUUUCCCAAAUAUGUAAGUAGCCGUUUGAGAAUUAAUUCAGAAGAAAAGCCCUAUACAUGUUCUCCGUGAGGCAAGUGCUUUUCCCAAAAAGAUGCAUUAAGUUUUCUAAAGAUACUUUGCACCAAUGGAAAAAACAUACACCUGCAAUGUGGGAUGCUUUUAAUUUAACUUGCCACCAUACAGCCGAAUAGCCCUACAAAUGUUUUCAGUAUGGGACCUGUUUUUCCCAGCGAACUCUGUUUAAUUGCCUCAAUGCAAGUAAUACAAGUACUCAGUGUGGGAAUUCUUUCAAAUGUACUCGGUGGUUAAAUUUCAUUUUCUAGGCCUACAAGUGAAGAGACUGACAAAUGUACUCAUUGUGGGAAGUGUUUCCCAUAAUAGGCCACAGAAGUGGGUCAUGUCUGUGACAGAAGUUGGUGCCAGGAAAUCACACUCAGGUAGCCAUUUUUCCUAUGAAUGUUUUAGUAUUAGCAAUUUUAUGAAAGUAUGUCAAACCAGCUUUUAACCACAUUGUUACAAUAGUGUAAAAAGUACCAAACAAUGAGAACCUCUGAAUUGGCGUAAUGUUUGACACAAGGCGCAGUGCACUUCUCGACAUGCCCUGAAUUAUAUUUGUUUUCACCCCUUUUAAUGCUCUUGCUGUCAUCCUUAAAAUAAAGUUGCUUAAUGUGACUGCCAUAAGCUAGCUAAAUUAGGACUCGGACAGGCUGAAACGCAAGAAGGGUACGUCAUGAACUUAAUGCUGUAUGGAAUUGUAGUCCGCUUGCAUAAUAUGGCCAGUAAAGACAUUAAUCAAACAAAACUGCCAAAUGACUGACAUGACUAUUAGAAACCACUUGAAUGAAUGAAUGAAUUCUUGCAUUUAUAUAGCACGUUUUCAAAUGCUCAAACGCUCUUAGUGAAAGUACAAACCAAAAAACAUACUUUGUUCAGUUGUGUAAGCAGUUGAGUGUCAGACAGAGACUAAAAAAACAUGGACAAAGCUACUGUGACGUCACCCAUUGACUCCGUGGGUCUCUAAAACACGUUUUGAAGUCAAUGGCGGGCGCGGCCAUGUUGUCGAUUUGGAGCCAAAACCAUAGAGUUAAGCGGUCUUGUGAUUUUACAAUGUGAUUGACAGUCCGGUGCGGAAAAGCCCAUCAACCUGAACGAACGAUUGCAGAACGAACUUGAGGCUAGCUGACUGUCUGCCGUUAUGUUUUAAAAUAUAUUAUCAAAUGUUUACGGAGUUUAAUUUCCAUCCCUGACUGUACUGUGUCAUGUAAUCACGUUAUAUGUAUGACAUUAAUAAUACAAUUAUGUUCAGUUAUCUUCAAUUUAUGUUUGUCAGCAAAACGAAUAUGCUUAGCUAGCAUAUCAGCUUGCCAGUGAGCUAGGUAGGCUAUCCGUGGUUAGCUCAGGCAUUAGCAAUAUGAACCACAGGGGAAGAACAUUGACUACACUGAUGGUCAAUCAAUCUGAGAUGUGUAGGCUGCUGGUGAUUUGACUAGGCUAAUUUUCGUAUAACUGUCUGGUAGACCUGCUGUUAACCGAGCAAGUUAUCGUCAUAGGUUUUCGCCACAGUCAGUUAAUGAGCCAGUAACUGAUACUAGCUACUCCAUCGCCGUUUGUGAUGCUAGCUGACCGAUCGUUCGCAAGUCACUUUCUACCGAAUAAAAAUUAACACUGUCAGGUGAUUAACAAAUCUACCAAGUAUUUUAAUAACUGAUCUGCAGGCGUGUAAAUAUGACAGCGCACUUUGUACAGCAAGUUUUCCACCUGGUGCAUGAAGACAAAAAUAAUGUACAUUGAAUUUCGAAUUAUUAUUAGGCUAUUAUUAUUUUUUUCAUCAUCAGAUGAUUUUGAUAUUUUAAAUCAUCAAAGCCAAUAGAGAAAAGCCAAUAUACGCAAUGAGCCCCCAGGACCGAUUCUGAGAACCACUGUCUUAGAUGCUCUUGUCGGUCUCUUAAAUGUUAAAAACAUGUUCCUUUCUAAAUUCCAGUCUUGCAAAGAUUGUUAAUUUCGUUAAAAUCUGUAUGUGUGAUUUCAUCGUGUGUCGUAUGUUAUUCAGCAAAUAAACCUUAAGACUCUUAAUUCGCUUCGUGAAACUGAAAAAUUUGCAGUGUUUAUCCCAAAAUCGGGAUAAUAGUAGGUUUGUCACAUGCGUGAAGCAUGGCCCAGGUAGACAUUUAUGGAAUGUAGGCUACACGACUGACAAGCCGUCAAACACGUUUGACAGAUUGAAUAUUUGCCGGUUAGGGUUAGCUAGUCAAAUGGCUUGGUAGCCGAAGUUGCAAACUGUUUUAGCAUAGGCUACUGGACUACCAAAUAUAGCAAGCUGAUUAAGCUUUCUGCCAACUAAUUAUUUGGUUAAGUAGGCUAAAGGAAAUAGUAAAAAUGACUCGGCUACCGAAAAACUUCGGAGGAGGAUUAUUUUAUGGUCGUCUAGUGCAGCUGUAAAUAGCACACGCCAUAAUGAAAUCACUACGAAAUGGGAUGCCUGCAUUUUCUGACUUCGCACAGGUGGACCGUGGUCGGAGCCACAAUGUCAAGGCCAAGAGGCGCCACCGCCCAUUCCAGUGACCAUAGACUCUAGCCCCUACUGUAGCUAGUCCUCUGCAGUAAUCAGGAAGUGACGCAAACUGUACCUCAUUGGUCCACAACAAAUAUUAUAACAGUGCCCAAAUGACACAAUAAAUCAUGAAAUCGACCCACGGACAGUCAUAAGACGAAUAAAAUACACAUAU